AAACCAUGACGGGGACAUUGUUUGAGCAUAUUGUUGUAUCUAUCCCAUGCUUCAAAUAAAGUUUCUAAGUAUGACUGUCUGAAGCUUGCAAUUUGAUUUCUCAUAU
Small nucleolar RNA from Zingiber officinale, 106 nucleotides. NCBI's taxonomy places the organism in Eukaryota, Viridiplantae, Streptophyta, Magnoliopsida, Zingiberales, Zingiberaceae. The record is from RefSeq and is a predicted model, not a curated record.